GUGGGGAAUAUUGGGCAAUGGGCGAAAGCCUGACCCAGCAACGCCGCGUGAAGGAAGAAGGCUUUCGGGUUGUAAACUUCUUUUGUCAGGGACGAAAAAAAUGACGGUACCUGACGAAUAAGCCACGGCUAACUACGUGCCAGCAGCCGCGGUAAUACGUAGGUGGCAAGCGUUAUCCGGAUUUACUGGGUGUAAAGGGCGUGUAGGCGGGAAAGCAAGUCAGAUGUGAAAACUAUGGGCUCAACCCAUAGCCUGCAUUUGAAACUGUUGUUCUUGAGUACUGGAGAGGCAGAUGGAAUUCCUAGUGUAGCGGUGAAAUGCGUAGAGAUCGGGAGGAACACCAGUGGCGAAGGCGACUUACUGGACUGUAACUGACGCUGAGGCGCGAAAGUGUGGGGAGCAAACAGGAUUAGAAACCCCAGUAGUCC
Molecule: ribosomal RNA, 428 nt
Filed under: uncultured bacterium
Lineage: Bacteria
Description: partial 16S ribosomal RNA
Rfam family: Bacterial small subunit ribosomal RNA
Source: RNAcentral